Molecule: ribosomal RNA, 305 nt
Filed under: uncultured bacterium
Lineage: Bacteria
Description: bacterial SSU rRNA
Rfam family: Bacterial small subunit ribosomal RNA
Source: RNAcentral
CUCCUACGGGGGGCAGCAGUGAGGAAUAUUGGUCAAUGGCCGCAGGGCUGAACCAGCCAAGUCGCGUGAGGGAUGACGGUCCUAUGGAUUGUAAACCUCUUUUGUCAGGGAGCAAAGGGCGCCACGUGUGGCGUUUUGCGAGUACCUGAAGAAAAAGCAUCGGCUAACUCCGUGCCAGCAGCCGCGGUAAUACGGAGGAUGCGAGCGUUAUCCGGAUUUAUUGGGUUUAAAGGGUGCGUAGGCGGUCGGAUAAGUUAGAGGUGAAAUCCCGAGGCUCAACUUCGGAAUUGCCUCUGAUACUGUUU